This 1187-nucleotide ribosomal RNA is filed under the name Haptophyta environmental samples. RNAcentral's name for it is "SSU rRNA". It matches the Rfam family "Eukaryotic small subunit ribosomal RNA", at positions 427 to 1644 of the family's 1831-position model. The record is from RNAcentral. Lineage: Eukaryota; Haptophyta.
AGCAGGCGCGUAAAUUGCCCGAUCACGACACGGGGAGGUAGUGACAAUAAAUACUGAUACAGGGGUCUUUUGGGUCUUGUAAUUGGAAUGAGUACAAUUUAAAUCCCUUAACGAGGAACUAUUGGAGGGCAAGUCUGGUGCCAGCAGCCGCGGUAAUUCCAGCUCCAAUAGCGUAUAUUAAAGUUGUUGCAGUUAAAAAGCUCGUAGUCGGAUUUCGGGUCGGGCCGAGCGGUCUGCCGAUGGGUAUGCACUGUUCGGCGCGGCCUUCUUUCCGGAGACCGCGGCUACUCUUAACUGAGCGGGCGUGGGAGACGGAUCGUUUACUUUGAAAAAAUCAGAGUGUUUCAAGCAGGCAGCUCGCUCUUGCAUGGAUUAGCAUGGGAUAAUGAAAUAGGACUCUGGUGCUAUUUUGUUGGUUUCGAACACCGGAGUAAUGAUUAACAGGGACAGUCAGGGGCACUCGUAUUCCGUCGAGAGAGGUGAAAUUCUCAGACCAAUGGAAGACGAACCACUGCGAAAGCAUUUGCCAGGGAUGUUUUCACUGAUCAAGAACGAAAGUUAGGGGAUCGAAGACGAUCAGAUACCGUCGUAGUCUUAACCAUAAACCAUGCCGACUAGGGAUUGGAGGGUGUUCGUUUUGACCUCUUCAGCACCUUACGGGAAACUAAAGUCUUUGGGUUCCGGGGGGAGUAUGGUCGCAAGGCUGAAACUUAAAGGAAUUGACGGAAGGGCACCACCAGGAGUGGAGCCUGCGGCUUAAUUUGACUCAACACGGGGAAACUUACCAGGUCCAGACAUUGGAAGGAUUGACAGAUUGAGAGCUCUUUCUUGAUUCGAUGGGUGGUGGUGCAUGGCCGUUCUUAGUAGGUGGAGUGAUUUGUCUGGUUAAUUCCGUUAACGAACGAAACCUUAGCCUGCUAAAUAGUUCCGGUAACUUCUUGUUGGCGGUCAGCUUCUUAGAGGGACAACUUGUGAACGACAAGUGGAAGUUUGAGGCAAUAACAGGUCUGUGAUGCCCUUAGAUGUUCUGGGCCGCACGCGCGCUACACUGAAGCAUUCAACGAGUCCACCUCGACCGACAGGUCUGGGAAACCUUUUGAAAUUGCUUCGUGAUGGGGAUAGAUUAUUGCAACUAUUAAUCUUCAACGAGGAAUUCCUAGUAAGCGCAUGUCAUCAGCGUACGUUGA